UAGGGAAUAUUGCACAAUGAGCGAAAGCUUGAUGCGGCAACGCCGCGUGCGCGAUGACGGCCUUCGGGUUGUAAAGCGCUUUUCGGGGAGAUGAGGAAGGACAGUAUCCCCGGAAUAAGUCUCGGCUAACUACGUGCCAGCAGCCGCGGUAACACGUAGGAGGCAAGCGUUAUCCGAAUUUACUGGGCGUAAAGCGCGUGCAGGCGGUUCGGUAAGUUGGAUGUGAAAUCUCCCGGCUCAACUGGGAGGGGACGUUCAAUACUGUCGGACUGGAGGACGAAAGAGGGAGGUGGAAUUCCCGGUGUAGUGGUGAAAUGCGUAGAUAUCGGGAGGAAAACCAGUGGGGAAGGCGGCUUCCGGGAUCGUUCCUGACGCUCAGACGCGAAAGCUAGGGG
Molecule: ribosomal RNA, 395 nt
Filed under: uncultured bacterium
Lineage: Bacteria
Description: bacterial SSU rRNA
Rfam family: Bacterial small subunit ribosomal RNA
Source: RNAcentral